AUUCUCCUGCCUCAGCUUCCGGAGCAGCUGGGACUGCUGGCGCCCGCCACCACGCUCGGCUAAUUUUUUUGUGUUUUUAGUAGAGACGGGCUUUCACCGUGUUGGCCUAGCUGUUUUCAAACUCCUGACCUCAUGAUCCCCCCGCCUCAGCCUCCCAAAGUGCUGGGAUUACAAGCGUGAGCCACCGCGACCCGCCAACACUCUUGACAACAGUGCUGUGCUAAGAUCUUGGGGGACUUCAAAAAGUUCACCAGUUCCUGUGUCCAUGGGUGAAAAGAUUUUCUACAUCUUUCCUUGACUAGAAACAGAAGUCCUGAAACAAGCAUUUUAAAAAGGUUGUACAUCUAGCAAUACCUAACAAAAUAGGAAAUCAACUUGGGGAUUCUGCUUUUGCAUCUUCCUCGUUUUCUCUUGCCGCUGCCAAGUAAGAAGUGCCUUUCACCUCACGCCAUGUUUCUGAGGCCUCCCCAGCCAUGUGGAACUGCAAGUCCAGUUAAACCUCUUUUUCUUCUCAGCGCUACCUUAAUGAGCAGACAGGAUGCCAUCAUCUCCGACCUGAAUGACAAUAACCUCCAAACCAGCCUUUGCAUACUCCUUCCUGCUGCUCUGCAGUCCACUUCCACAGACCAGCCAAUUGAAUCUCCUUAUAGAUUCAUAAUGGCCAUCAGCACAAAGAUGUUUUAUCUGCACUCAACCAGCCAUGUUUCAUGAUGGCAUCAAAAUGUGCUGGAAAAGGUCAAACAGAGAAAAUCAUCAUCAUAAAGUGAAGUGAUUUUCUUCUUUAUGAGCUCCUGAUGUAAACAGACUGAUGAGCACAACACAAUCCUUACUCACCCACAUGACAUCAUACACAAUCACAGCUAAAUGUUUCUAUCUGUCAAAGCCUGAAGAGUGACUACCAGACUGUUGCCUGAUUG
Long non-coding RNA from Pan troglodytes (chimpanzee), 917 nucleotides. RefSeq lists it as uncharacterized. Lineage: Eukaryota; Metazoa; Chordata; Mammalia; Primates; Hominidae. The record is from RefSeq and is a predicted model, not a curated record. The transcript is spliced from 7 exons.